Molecule: unclassified non-coding RNA, 149 nt
Filed under: uncultured Ascomycota
Lineage: Eukaryota; Fungi; Ascomycota
Description: sequence contains ITS1
Source: RNAcentral
CCGAGUUAGGGUCCCUUAGGGCUCGACCUCCAAACCCUUGUGUACCUCACAUGCCUGUUGCUUCGGCAGGCCCCCGUGCCUGCCGGAGCCCCAACAAAAAACAAUAUUGUCAUUGUGUCGUGUCUGAGUUUAAAUGUUUAAAUUGUUUA